AUUGAACGCUGGCGGCAGGCUUAACACAUGCAAGUCGAGCGGGGGAAGGUAGCUUGCUACCGGACCUAGCGGCGGACGGGUGAGUAAUGCUUAGGAAUCUGCCUAUUAGUGGGGGACAACAUCUCGAAAGGGAUGCUAAUACCGCAUACGUCCUACGGGAGAAAGCAGGGGAUCUUAGGACCUGGCGCUAAUAGAUGAGCCUAAGUCGGAUUAGCUAGUUGGUGGGGUAAAGGCCUACCAAGGCGACGAUCUGUAGCGGGUCUGAGAGGAUGAUCCGCCACACUGGGACUGAGACACGGCCCAGACUCCUACGGGAGGCAGCAGUGGGGAAUAUUGGACAAUGGGGGGAACCCUGAUCCAGCCAUGCCGCGUGUGUGAAGAAGGCCUUAUGGUUGUAAAGCACUUUAAGCGAGGAGGAGGCUACUUUAGUUAAUACCUAGAGAUAGUGGACGUUACUCGCAGAAUAAGCACCGGCUAAUUCUGUGCCAGCAGCCGCGGUAA
RNAcentral lists this ribosomal RNA (501 nucleotides) under uncultured bacterium. Its description in RNAcentral is "partial 16S ribosomal RNA". It matches the Rfam family "Bacterial small subunit ribosomal RNA", at positions 30 to 523 of the family's 1533-position model. The record is from RNAcentral.